Molecule: transfer RNA, 87 nt
Filed under: Candidatus Vogelbacteria bacterium
Lineage: Bacteria; Candidatus Vogeliibacteriota
Description: tRNA-Leu
Source: RNAcentral
GCGCGGGUGUCGUAACUGGUAGCCGAGCUACCUUGAGGUGGUAGUGGCCGUAAGGUCGUGGAGGUUCGAGUCCUCUCCCGCGCACCA